RNAcentral lists this unclassified non-coding RNA (3130 nucleotides) under Eurytemora carolleeae. RNAcentral's name for it is "zinc finger protein 62". Lineage: Eukaryota; Metazoa; Arthropoda; Copepoda; Calanoida; Temoridae. The record is from RNAcentral.
GUUGUAGCCAUCAAAAAUCUUGGGUUGGGUAUUUAAUUUCUGUGAUAAAUCAACACCACGUUGAAGCAUUCAUGAAUCAUGUCUCUAGUCAAACAAAAUUUAGUGAUUUACAGAAAAUAAUAUGUAAAGAUUUUAAAUGUCCAUGCUAGGAAGUGUGUUGUUGACAAGUGGCAUGAACACAGUAGACGGGAUGGAGCUGGGUGUGGAGAAGGAGACGAGAGAGGAGAACAAUUACAACUCCUGUCUCGUGGAGACAAUCCUCACCGAGACAGAGGAGUUUGAUGCUCAGAACUAUGCUGCACAACAAUCCAAUAGUAACAGCAACAUGAUUAACAUGACACAUAUGACCCAAAUCCAGAUGCGUAAACCCCUGGAGCCCCGGGAGAUGAGGAUGGAAGGGGUGUACAGUAUAGAACCGGAACAGGUAGAUCUGAAUGGAAAGAAAAGAAUUUACAAACAUCCAGAAGGGUUUCCCUGUGAUCUUUGCCCAUACAGAGCAAAGAUGAGGUCUCACUUGAGGGCGCAUCGGCAAAGUGUUCAUGAAGGGGUGAAAUAUCCCUGUGAUCAGUGUGAGUACAAGGCGACAGCUAUGGGUUCUCUACGACGUCAUUAUAACGCAAUCCACAGUGGAUUAAAGUACCCCUGCUCGGAGUGUGAUCACGUGAGCAACACCGCGGCAAACCUCAAAUACCACCACAAUACCGUGCACAUGGGACUCAGGCAGUUCCCCUGUCCUCAUUGUGAGUAUAAGGCAACCACUGCAAGUCACCUGAAGAAGCACAAAGAAAGCGUUCACGAGGGCAUAAAGUAUAAAUGCAACGAGUGUGAGCAUGAAUCUACAACUAAAGAAAGUUUAAAGUUACCCUGCCCUCACAAGCGCAAGAAUAAUCGGUCUAAAAGUGCGCAGGUUCACAAGCGGUCAUUGCACAAGAAGAUACUGUUUCCCUGUCCUUCAUGUGAAUAUGUGGCCAAGGUUAACAGUCAUCUCAAGCAACACGUGAGGAGUGUACACGACAAGAUCAGGUUUCCCUGUGACAAGUGUGAGUAUUCCGCCAUCAACAAUUCCCGGUUAAAACAUCACAAAGAAACUAUGCACAGUGGGCUCAAAUUCACCUGUGAUACUCACGCAGUUCAGAUCACCACCGCCAAGCAGCUGCGCCAGAUUAUGAGAGAAGAUGUAAAGUUUGAGUGUGAAGACUGCGCUAUAGUUGCCAAGGGGGCGAUUGAUAUUCUGAAGAAACAGAAGGUGUGUAAGGGCGACGAAGACAUUUAUGAAGAUGAUUUUGAAGAAUGGGAGAUAAAGAAAGAAAAGGGAGUGGUGAACAAAAACCAAUGUGAGAUCUGCAGCCACGAGGCCAGAAAUCCAGCGGAAUUAAAGCAACACAUAAUGGCCAUUCACGAGGGGGUCACCCACUCCUGUGAUCAUUGUGAAUUUAGCACAACUCACCCCAGUAGUUUGAAAAGACACAAACAAACUGUGCAUCCUUAUGUAGAUCUGAAAUAUGCUUGUGAUGACUGUGCCAAAACAGAAAUGGAGAUAUUCUCCAAGAUUGGAAACAAGGAAGAACUAAAGAAUUUGUUAGAACAAGGUCGAAAAAGUGACUGCCAGAAUUGUAAAGAUGUUGCCAAACGGAGUUUAGAACUUUUAAAGUUCCGAGAAGAAACACAAGUACUUAAUACAGAUUCACCACAGGUCUCUAAGUAUGUUUGUGACGAGUGUGGGUUUGAAGGAAGGAAUGUGGUCGACCUGCGACAACAUAAACUGACAGUACACCAGGGAAUCACAUAUCCCUGUGAUGUAUGUGACUAUGUAGCCGCACGACCUGAUGCUUUAAAACGACACAAGAAGGGUAAACACGAGGAGAAGAAGUUUCUGUGCGACCAGUGUCAGUUCCGGGCACAUAGUGCCAUUAAACUCAGUCAGCACAAACUAACCGCCCACGUGGGAAUACGCUACCCAUGUAACAUGUGUGACUUUCAGGCUUCCAAGCUUGCUAAACUAAAAGAACACAAGAUGACGGCCCAUGACGGCGCCUCAUUCCCCUGUGACGAAUGUGAGAAAGUAUUCCCGAGUCCGAAGGGUUUAAAGGACCACAAGGCAGUGCAUCGGUCAGGUCCUAAGUUUCAAUGUGAAGAAUGUGGAUUUUCAACAACCGUGGUAGAAUCAUUGCAGACUCAUAUAGACAGUGUUCAUAAAGGAUCUCGGUAUGAUUGUGAUGCUUGUGAGUUCCAGUGUUUGAACCCCGAGGAACUAAAGGAGCAUAUCAGCAAGAUCCACGAGAUCGUCGUCACAUUCGGCUGCGAUCAGUGUGCGUUCAAGUGCCUUACCGAGGUGGAGCUCCGAGCACAUAUUGAGACUCUACACCGUACCCCGGAGUUUGCAUGUCACAAGUGCGACAUCAAGCUACCAACUGAGGAAUAUCUUAAACUUCAUAUAGUGCGAGAACAUGAGAAAUUUCAGUGUGCUGAGUGUAACUAUGUGUGUGGGACGGAGGAGGAUUUAAUGCAACACAAGGCCACAAACCAUGAACCCGAAGGAUAUCCCUGUGACCUGUCUAAUCACCAGGAUAGGAGCAGGAACACAUACUAUGAAGAGAAGAUGACUAAACAUCCAUAUCUGCACAUUAACGGUCAGGAAUAUGAUCAGGCCACACUCUCCGGUCUUCUACCUUCUCCGUUCCGGAGUUCGAUACCUGGUACUAAUAUAUCUGUACCCGGAGCAUACCCAACCUACUCCAUCACCAAUACGGGAAGUAUCUCCUAUGGAGGGGUUCCUGUACCCAGUACAAUAUCCGUUCCUGGGUUCCCUAUACCCGGCUCUCUUACUAACUCCGGGAACGCUAACGCCUUGGUUAGAGGAGGGUAUCCCUGGACUACAGGUUUUAAUAUGAAUCCAGGCAGCUAUUAAUCAGUACCUUACUAUGGGAGUACACAAUUUUGUGUUGGGAGAAAAAAGUUAUAAUGACUGUUAGCAUUUCCCUUUAAAUGUUAAUUAUUUAAUGGUGAUUCGAUACACAACAGUGCUUCUAUUUAUUUUAUGUACAACAUGUUACUCAUCUGUCAGCUGUCAGCUGUUUGUUUGGACUGAGGUCCUGAUUAUUUCACUAUUAUAAAUCUAAACAACAAACUA